Molecule: transfer RNA, 51 nt
Filed under: Dirofilaria sp. 'hongkongensis'
Lineage: Eukaryota; Metazoa; Nematoda; Chromadorea; Rhabditida; Onchocercidae
Also listed under: 2 other names
Description: tRNA-Ser
Source: RNAcentral
GAUAGGUUUUUUUUAGUCUUCUAAACUAAUUUUGGGUUUUCUCGUCUAUUU